Molecule: small nucleolar RNA, 74 nt
Organism: Pelodiscus sinensis (Chinese soft-shelled turtle)
Lineage: Eukaryota; Metazoa; Chordata; Testudines; Trionychidae
Rfam family: Small nucleolar RNA SNORD28
About the family: U28 is a member of the C/D class of snoRNA which contain the C (UGAUGA) and D (CUGA) box motifs. U28 is encoded within the U22 snoRNA host gene (UHG) in mammals and is thought to act as a 2'-O-ribose methylation guide for ribosomal RNA.
Source: Rfam
GCCAUGUGAUCUUAAAACAGUUCUGAAAAGAUUUGAAGAACAUUGACCAAUAGCAUGUUAGAGUUCUGAUGGCA